GAUGAAGAACGCAGCGAAAUGCGAUAAGUAAUGUGAAUUGCAGAAUUCAGUGAAUCAUCGAAUCUUUGAACGCGCAUUGCGACCCUUGGUAUUCCGAGGGGCAUGCCCGUUCGAGCGUCAUUAUACCCCUCAAGCCUAGCUUGGUGUUGGGGCCUGCUGUUACCGGCAGCCCUUAAAAUCAGUGGCGGUGCCAUCUGGCUCUAAGCGUAGUAAUACUUCUCGCUACAGGGUCCCGGUGGAUGCUUGCCAUCAACCCCUAAUUUUCUAUGGUUGACCUCGGAUCGGGUAGGGAUACCCGCUGAACUUAAGCAUAUCAAUAAGCGGAGGA
RNAcentral lists this unclassified non-coding RNA (328 nucleotides) under soil metagenome. RNAcentral's name for it is "partial contains 5.8S ribosomal RNA, internal transcribed spacer 2, and large subunit ribosomal RNA". The stretch from base 1 to 120 matches the Rfam family "5.8S ribosomal RNA", at positions 35 to 154 of the family's 154-position model. The record is from RNAcentral.